AUUUCCAAAAGAAGUUCAAAAAUUUUGUAAAUCAAUAUGUACAGUCAAAAUAAUCCACAAAUCCACUUCUUUAUUAAAAUAUCAGAUCUUGUGUAUUUAAUGAAAUGAGAAGAAAGGUUUUUUUAUAAGCUACUUACGCAAAACUUAAGGAAGCUCAAUGGUUUCUGGUACUAGUAGUGCUCAUAAAAUUUAGCGGAUCUGUGUAAAAACAACUUACGAACUGUAAAUCGAAUCUGGCACCGCAGAAGAUACACUCUCACUCUUUCGAGCGUGCAGUAUAGGUGGAUGGGUAUACAACACAACAGGUGCAAUGACCACAUACCUAGGCGGUGGUUGGUUCAAAUAGUGUAUAAACUGUCAUGGAAACGCGGCGCUCUGUGGACGGCAAAACAUGCAAGGGAAUUUGAUCUGAUUAAUACCCACUGUACUAUAUACUAGGGGCUU
Molecule: long non-coding RNA, 444 nt
Organism: Drosophila biarmipes
Lineage: Eukaryota; Metazoa; Arthropoda; Insecta; Diptera; Drosophilidae
Exons: 2
Source: RefSeq, a predicted model, not a curated record